Molecule: microRNA precursor, 104 nt
Filed under: Marmota monax (woodchuck)
Lineage: Eukaryota; Metazoa; Chordata; Mammalia; Rodentia; Sciuridae
Source: RNAcentral
AGUGGGAUAGCUGGGUCAAAUGAGGGUUCCAUUCCAAGUUUUUCUAAGGAAUCUCUAUACUGCUUUCCAAAGUGGUUGCACCAUUUUGCAAUCCCACCAGCAAU